RNAcentral lists this ribosomal RNA (156 nucleotides) under uncultured bacterium. RNAcentral describes it as "partial 16S ribosomal RNA". It matches the Rfam family "Bacterial small subunit ribosomal RNA", at positions 356 to 504 of the family's 1533-position model. The record is from RNAcentral.
AGGGAAUCUUCCACAAUGGACGCAAGUCUGAUGGAGCAACGCCGCGUGAGUGAAGAAGGUUUUCGGAUCGUAAAGCUCUGUUGUUGGUGAAGAAGGAUAGAGGUAGUAACUGGCCUUUAUUUGACGGUAAUCAACCAGAAAGUCACGGCUAACUAC